UACGGGAGGCAGCAGUGGGGAAUAUUGCACAAUGGGCGAAAGCCUGAUGCAGCUAUGCCGCGUGUAUGAAGAAGGCCUUAGGGUUGUAAAGUACUUUCAUCGGGGAGGAAAAAACAAAACUAAUAAUUUUAUUUCUUGACGUUACCCGAAAAAGAAGCACCGGCUAACUCCGUGCCAGCAGCCGCGGUAAUACGGAGGGUGCUAGCGUUAAUCAGAAUUACUGGGCGUAAAGAGCACGUAGGUGGUUUUUUUAAGUCAGAUGUGAAAUCCCUGGGCUUAACCUAGGAACUGCAUUUUGAAACUGAAAUACUAGAGUAUCGUAGAGGGAGGUAGAAUUCUAGGUGUAGCGGUGAAAUGCGUAGAUAUCUGGAGGAAUACCUGUGGCGAAAGCGGCCUCCUAAACGAAUACUGACACUGAGGUGCGAAAGCGUGGGGAGCAAACAGGGAUUAGACC
This 454-nucleotide ribosomal RNA is filed under the name uncultured bacterium. RNAcentral's name for it is "bacterial SSU rRNA". It matches the Rfam family "Bacterial small subunit ribosomal RNA", at positions 340 to 784 of the family's 1533-position model. The record is from RNAcentral.